UGUUGGGGUAACGGCCCAACAAGCCGAUAAUCGGUACGGGUUGUGGGAGCAAGAGCCCGGAGUUGGAUUCUGAGACACGAAUCCAGGCCCUACGGGGCGCAGCAGGCGCGAAAACUUUACAAUGCGGGAAACCGUGAUAAGGGAACCCCGAGUGCCUGUAUAUGCAGGCUGUCCAGGUGUCUAAAAAACACCUGAAGAAAGGGCCGGGCAAGACCGGUGCCAGCCGCCGCGGUAAUACCGGCGGCUCGAGUGGUGGCCACUUUUAUUGGGCUCAAAGCGUUCGUAGCUGGGUUGUUAAGUCUCUUGGGAAAUCUGACGGCUUAACCGUCAGGCGUCUAAGAGAUACUGGCAAUCUUGGAACCGGGAGAGGUGAGGGGUACUUCGGGGGUAGGAGUGAAAUCCUGUAAUCCUCGAGGGACCACCUGUGGCGAAGGCGCCUCACCAGAACGGCUUCGACAGUGAGGGACGAAAGCUGGGGGCACGAACCGGAUUAGAU
Molecule: ribosomal RNA, 496 nt
Filed under: uncultured microorganism
Description: bacterial SSU rRNA
Rfam family: Archaeal small subunit ribosomal RNA
Source: RNAcentral